UACGAAGGGGGGCUAGCGUUGCUCGGAAUCACUGGGCGUAAAGGGUGCGUAGGCGGGAUCUUAAGUCAGAGGUGAAAGCCUGGAGCUCAACUCCAGAACUGCCUUUGAUACUGGGAUUCUUGAGUUCGGGAGAGGUGAGCGGAACUGCGAGUGUAGAGGUGAAAUUCGUAGAUAUUCGCAAGAACACCAGUGGCGAAGGCGGCUCACUGGCCCGAUACUGACGCUGAGGCACGAAAGCGUGGGGAGCGAACAGG
Molecule: ribosomal RNA, 254 nt
Filed under: uncultured bacterium
Lineage: Bacteria
Description: partial 16S ribosomal RNA
Rfam family: Bacterial small subunit ribosomal RNA
Source: RNAcentral